GAGUUUGAUUAUGGCUCAGAUUGAACGCUGGCGGCAGGCUUAACACAUGCAAGUCGAACGGUAGCAGGAAGAAAGCUUGCUUUCUUUGCUGACGAGUGGCGGACGGGUGAGUAAUGCUUGGGAAUCUGGCUUAUGGAGGGGGAUAACUGUGGGAAACUGCAGCUAAUACCGCGUAGUAUCGAGAGAUGAAAGGGUGGGACCUUCGGGCCACCUGCCAUAAGAUGAGCCCAAGUGGGAUUAGGUAGUUGGUGGGGUAAAGGCCUACCAAGCCGACGAUCUCUAGCUGGUCUGAGAGGAUGACCAGCCACACUGGGACUGAGACACGGCCCAGACUCCUACGGGAGGCAGCAGUGGGGAAUAUUGCGCAAUGGGGGGAACCCUGACGCAGCCAUGCCGCGUGAAUGAAGAAGGCCUUCGGGUUGUAAAGUUCUUUCGGUAAUGAGGAAGGGGUAUUAUUGAAUAGAUAAUAUCAUGACGU
This 478-nucleotide ribosomal RNA is filed under the name Pasteurella dagmatis. RNAcentral's name for it is "bacterial SSU rRNA". It matches the Rfam family "Bacterial small subunit ribosomal RNA", at positions 9 to 475 of the family's 1533-position model. The record is from RNAcentral. Lineage: Bacteria; Pseudomonadati; Pseudomonadota; Gammaproteobacteria; Pasteurellales; Pasteurellaceae.